This 221-nucleotide ribosomal RNA is filed under the name uncultured bacterium. Its description in RNAcentral is "partial 16S ribosomal RNA". It matches the Rfam family "Bacterial small subunit ribosomal RNA", at positions 151 to 353 of the family's 1533-position model. The record is from RNAcentral.
CGGAAACGACUGCUAAUACCGAAUAAGUUCCAAGAGCCGCAUGGCCCAUGGAAGAAAAGGUGGCCUCUACCUGUAAGCUAUCGCCUGAAGAGGGGUUUGCGUCUGAUUAGCUGGUUGGAGGGGUAACGGCCCACCAAGGCGACGAUCAGUAGCCGGUCUGAGAGGAUGAACGGCCACACUGGAACUGAGACACGGUCCAGACUCCUACGGGAGGCAGCAUG